RNAcentral lists this ribosomal RNA (446 nucleotides) under uncultured bacterium. RNAcentral's name for it is "bacterial SSU rRNA". It matches the Rfam family "Bacterial small subunit ribosomal RNA", at positions 329 to 792 of the family's 1533-position model. The record is from RNAcentral.
UUCCAGACUCCUACGGGAGGCAGCAGUGGGGGAUAUUGCACAAUGGGGGAAACCCUGAUGCAGCGACGCCGCGUGAGCGAUGAAGUAUUUCGGUAUGUAAAGCUCUAUCAGCAGGGAAGAAAAUGACGGUACCUGACUAAGAAGCCCCGGCUAACUACGUGCCAGCAGCCGCGGUAAUACGUAGGGGGCAAGCGUUAUCCGGAUUUACUGGGUGUAAAGGGAGCGUAGACGGCUGUGCAAGCCAGAUGUGAAAGCCCGGGGCUCAACCCCGGGACUGCAUUUGGAACUGUGUGGCUGGAGUGUCGGAGAGGCAGGCGGAAUUCCUAGUGUAGCGGUGAAAUGCGUAGAUAUUAGGAGGAACACCAGUGGCGAAGGCGGCCUGCUGGACGAUGACUGACGUUGAGGCUCGAAAGCGUGGGGAGCAAACAGGAUUAGAUACCCCGGUA